This 72-nucleotide transfer RNA is filed under the name Ovis aries (sheep). It matches the Rfam family "tRNA". From Rfam's summary of the family: Transfer RNA (tRNA) molecules are approximately 80 nucleotides in length. Their secondary structure includes four short double-helical elements and three loops (D, anti-codon, and T loops). Further hydrogen bonds mediate the characteristic L-shaped molecular structure. tRNAs have two regions of fundamental functional importance: the anti-codon, which is responsible for specific mRNA codon recognition, and the 3' end, to which the tRNAs corresponding amino acid is attached (by aminoacyl-tRNA synthetases). tRNAs cope with the degeneracy of the genetic code in two manners: having more than one tRNA (with a specific anti-codon) for a particular amino acid; and 'wobble' base-pairing, i.e. permitting non-standard base-pairing at the 3rd anti-codon position. Lineage: Eukaryota; Metazoa; Chordata; Mammalia; Artiodactyla; Bovidae. The record is from Rfam by way of RNAcentral.
UCCCUGGUGGUUCAGGGGGUAGAGAAUCCACCUGCAAAGUGGGAGACUUGGGUUCGAUCCCUGGGUAGGGAA